AGUGAACGCUGGCGGUAGGCCUAACACAUGCAAGUCGAACGGCAGCACAGUAAGAGCUUGCUCUUACGGGUGGCGAGUGGCGGACGGGUGAGGAAUACAUCGGAAUCUACUUUUUCGUGGGGGAUAACGUAGGGAAACUUACUCUAAUACCGCAUACGACCUACGGGUGAAAGCAGGGGAUCUUCGGACCUUGCGCGAUUGAAUGAGCCGAUGUCGGAUUAGCUAGUUGGCGGGGUAAAGGCCCACCAAGGCGACGAUCCGUAGCUGGUCUGAGCGGAUGAUCAGCCACACUGGAACUGAGACACGGUCCAGACUCCUACGGGAGGCAGCAGUGGGGAAUAUUGGACAAUGGGCGCAAGCCUGAUCCAGCCAUACCGCGUGGGUGAAGAAGGCCUUCGGGUUGUAAAGCCCUUUUGUUGGGAAAGAAAAGCAGCAGGUUAAUACCCCGCUGUUCUGACGGUACCCAAAGAAUAAGCACCGGCUAACUUCGUG
RNAcentral lists this ribosomal RNA (492 nucleotides) under uncultured bacterium. Its description in RNAcentral is "partial 16S ribosomal RNA". It matches the Rfam family "Bacterial small subunit ribosomal RNA", at positions 29 to 507 of the family's 1533-position model. The record is from RNAcentral.